This 429-nucleotide ribosomal RNA is filed under the name Verrucomicrobiota bacterium. RNAcentral's name for it is "Verrucomicrobia bacterium partial 16S ribosomal RNA". It matches the Rfam family "Bacterial small subunit ribosomal RNA", at positions 355 to 776 of the family's 1533-position model. The record is from RNAcentral. Lineage: Bacteria; Pseudomonadati; Verrucomicrobiota.
UAGGGAAUCUUCCGCAAUGGACGAAAGUCUGACGGAGCAACGCCGCGUGAGUGAAGAAGGCUUUCGGUUCGUAAAACUCUGUUGUUAGGGAAGAAAAAAUGUAUAGUAACUAUAUACAAAAGAGACGGUACCUAACCAGAAAGCCACGGCUAACUACGUGCCAGCAGCCGCGGUAAUACGUAGGUGGCAAGCGUUGUCCGGAAUUAUUGGGCGUAAAGCGCGCGCAGGUGGUUUAGAAAGUCUGAUGUGAAAGCCCACGGCUCAACCGUGGAGGGUCAUUGGAAACUAAUAAACUUGAGUGCAGGAGAGAAAAGUGGAAUUCCUAGUGUAGCGGUGAAAUGCGUAGAGAGUAGGAGGAACACCGGUGGCGAAAGCGGCUUUUUGGCCUGCAACUGACACUGAGGCGCGAAAGCGUGGGGAGCAAACAGG